GGGUUGUGAGGUUAAGCGACUAAGCGUACACGGUGGAUGCCCUGGCAGUCAGAGGCGAUGAAGGACGUGCUAAUCUGCGAUAAGCGUCGGUAAGGUGAUAUGAACCGUUAUAACCGGCGAUUUCCGAAUGGGGAAACCCAGUGUGUUUCGACACACUAUCAUUAACUGAAUCCAUAGGUUAAUGAGGCGAACCGGGGGAACUGAAACAUCUAAGUACCCCGAGGAAAAGAAAUCAACCGAGAUUCCCCCAGUAGCGGCGAGCGAACGGGGAGCAGCCCAGAGCCUGAAUCAGUGUGUGUGUUAGUGGAAGCGUCUGGAAAGGCGCGCGAUACAGGGUGACAGCCCCGUACACAAAAAUGCACAUGCUGUGAGCUCGAUGAGUAGGGCGGGACACGUGGUAUCCUGUCUGAAUAUGGGGGGACCAUCCUCCAAGGCUAAAUACUCCUGACUGACCGAUAGUGAACCAGUACCGUGAGGGAAAGGCGAAAAGAACCCCGGCGAGGGGAGUGAAAAAGAACCUGAAACCGUGUACGUACAAGCAGUGGGAGCACGCUUAGGCGUGUGACUGCGUACCUUUUGUAUAAUGGGUCAGCGACUUAUAUUCUGUAGCAAGGUUAACCGAAUAGGGGAGCCGAAGGGAAACCGAGUCUUAACUGGGCGUUAAGUUGCAGGGUAUAGACCCGAAACCCGGUGAUCUAGCCAUGGGCAGGUUGAAGGUUGGGUAACACUAACUGGAGGACCGAACCGACUAAUGUUGAAAAAUUAGCGGAUGACUUGUGGCUGGGGGUGAAAGGCCAAUCAAACCGGGAGAUAGCUGGUUCUCCCCGAAAGCUAUUUAGGUAGCGCCUCGUGAAUUCAUCUCCGGGGGUAGAGCACUGUUUCGGCAAGGGGGUCAUCCCGACUUACCAACCCGAUGCAAACUGCGAAUACCGGAGAAUGUUAUCACGGGAGACACACGGCGGGUGCUAACGUCCGUCGUGAAGAGGGAAACAACCCAGACCGCCAGCUAAGGUCCCAAAGUCAUGGUUAAGUGGGAAACGAUGUGGGAAGGCCCAGACAGCCAGGAUGUUGGCUUAGAAGCAGCCAUCAUUUAAAGAAAGCGUAAUAGCUCACUGGUCGAGUCGGCCUGCGCGGAAGAUGUAACGGGGCUAAACCAUGCACCGAAGCUGCGGCAGCGACGCUGAUGCGUUGUUGGGUAGGGGAGCGUUCUGUAAGCCUGCGAAGGUGUGCUGUGAGGCAUGCUGGAGGUAUCAGAAGUGCGAAUGCUGACAUAAGUAACGAUAAAGCGGGUGAAAAGCCCGCUCGCCGGAAGACCAAGGGUUCCUGUCCAACGUUAAUCGGGGCAGGGUGAGUCGACCCCUAAGGCGAGGCCGAAAGGCGUAGUCGAUGGGAAACAGGUUAAUAUUCCUGUACUUGGUGUUACUGCGAAGGGGGGACGGAGAAGGCUAUGUUGGCCGGGCGACGGUUGUCCCGGUUUAAGCGUGUAGGCUGGUUUUCCAGGCAAAUCCGGAAAAUCAAGGCUGAGGCGUGAUGACGAGGCACUACGGUGCUGAAGCAACAAAUGCCCUGCUUCCAGGAAAAGCCUCUAAGCAUCAGGUAACAUCAAAUCGUACCCCAAACCGACACAGGUGGUCAGGUAGAGAAUACCAAGGCGCUUGAGAGAACUCGGGUGAAGGAACUAGGCAAAAUGGUGCCGUAACUUCGGGAGAAGGCACGCUGAUAUGUAGGUGAAGCGACUUGCUCGUGGAGCUGAAAUCAGUCGAAGAUACCAGCUGGCUGCAACUGUUUAUUAAAAACACAGCACUGUGCAAACACGAAAGUGGACGUAUACGGUGUGACGCCUGCCCGGUGCCGGAAGGUUAAUUGAUGGGGUUAGCGCAAGCGAAGCUCUUGAUCGAAGCCCCGGUAAACGGCGGCCGUAACUAUAACGGUCCUAAGGUAGCGAAAUUCCUUGUCGGGUAAGUUCCGACCUGCACGAAUGGCGUAAUGAUGGCCAGGCUGUCUCCACCCGAGACUCAGUGAAAUUGAACUCGCUGUGAAGAUGCAGUGUACCCGCGGCAAGACGGAAAGACCCCGUGAACCUUUACUAUAGCUUGACACUGAACAUUGAGCCUUGAUGUGUAGGAUAGGUGGGAGGCUUUGAAGUGUGGACGCCAGUCUGCAUGGAGCCGACCUUGAAAUACCACCCUUUAAUGUUUGAUGUUCUAACGUUGACCCGUAAUCCGGGUUGCGGACAGUGUCUGGUGGGUAGUUUGACUGGGGCGGUCUCCUCCUAAAGAGUAACGGAGGAGCACGAAGGUUGGCUAAUCCUGGUCGGACAUCAGGAGGUUAGUGCAAUGGCAUAAGCCAGCUUGACUGCGAGCGUGACGGCGCGAGCAGGUGCGAAAGCAGGUCAUAGUGAUCCGGUGGUUCUGAAUGGAAGGGCCAUCGCUCAACGGAUAAAAGGUACUCCGGGGAUAACAGGCUGAUACCGCCCAAGAGUUCAUAUCGACGGCGGUGUUUGGCACCUCGAUGUCGGCUCAUCACAUCCUGGGGCUGAAGUAGGUCCCAAGGGUAUGGCUGUUCGCCAUUUAAAGUGGUACGCGAGCUGGGUUUAGAACGUCGUGAGACAGUUCGGUCCCUAUCUGCCGUGGGCGCUGGAGAACUGAGGGGGGCUGCUCCUAGUACGAGAGGACCGGAGUGGACGCAUCACUGGUGUUCGGGUUGUCAUGCCAAUGGCACUGCCCGGUAGCUAAAUGCGGAAGAGAUAAGUGCUGAAAGCAUCUAAGCACGAAACUUGCCCCGAGAUGAGUUCUCCCUGAC
RNAcentral lists this ribosomal RNA (2802 nucleotides) under Escherichia coli. RNAcentral's name for it is "partial 23S ribosomal RNA". It matches the Rfam family "Bacterial large subunit ribosomal RNA". Lineage: Bacteria; Pseudomonadati; Pseudomonadota; Gammaproteobacteria; Enterobacterales; Enterobacteriaceae. The record is from RNAcentral.